UUUGUUGGAGAUCUCUCCUUGGUGAAGCUUUUUCCCUAUGAACCUGGAAUCUUCUGAUAUGGAUGUUAAAUUCCCCAAGAUGAAGAGGUGUCAGCCUGAUGGAAGGAGUGAUACGAGGACCUUCUUUUUCCUUUGAGCUGGGCUUUCUUUCUUAUUUGAAUCUGUGAAUUUGGCUAUCUACUGCUAGAGAUUUUGAAGAUGGUGCCAUCUAAAAUGAAGUCCCAUUGAAAGAAUGUGUUGUGAUGAAGAGCUGUUGAGUGAGUCACCACAAUCGUGUUGGCAAGGUGGGCUGUGGAGCAGGCCAGAUCCUUACGCUUGGCACGAGACAGCAAAAGCAAAAGAGGAGAGAGAGAAGCUGGAGCCAGGAGCACUGCAGUGCUUGGCCAGCCAGCAGGGCUGGGCUGCAAGUGCUUUCCUUGGUUAAAGCUUUAACCGCUUCAGUAACACAACUCUGCCCAAGUGGAGGCAUUUCCAUGCUGUGCCCUCAUCUGGGCACUGGGAGAUGGGUUUAAGGCAAACAUAGAGGAUGUGUUCUGUGCAAGGAAGGGAUCUGAAAGGUUUUUGCCUUGCCUCUUUCUAUUUUCCCCCUUUUUCCUCCUCUAUGUGAUGGUUAAAAAAUCUUACAGUUUUAUGGAGGCUUUCUCCUAAGAGGGGCCCUUCGCAUCUCUAGUCCAGCACCUGCCCGAAGUUGCAGAAGACUUUCUCCUGAAGAAUGAAGAUUCCACUGCCUGUCCAGCUCACAUCCCAGGGCGGCUGAGCAAACUAUUUUCUUAAGGUUUUUGGUUGGAAAAUCCUUUGCUACCAUUUGUUCCUCUUGCUCCUAGUUAUUUCCCAUUGAUUCCCAUUGACACGCUCCAGUUGUAUCCUACUGAUUUGCCGUGGGGCUGAUUUGCCAUCCAAUCUGGUGGCAUUUCCUUAAUUCUGGAGGACCAAUGUGGCCCUGAUGAUCAAGCCUCAUAGUUGGCCAUUGCCAGUGCAGCCCAGAUAUACUGGAAAUAGCUGUGAAAUGCUCAGGAAAACUUCCACAUCCUGAGAGUUGUGCCCACCUCUGUUUGUAUGCAUGGUGCAUCUCAUCAAUACAAUUUCCUUUUAUUUUCCUGUGGAUUUUUAGAUAUUGGAUUAGAAUUGAGAAUUAAAAGCAGUAAAGCUACUUAAAACAGUU
Molecule: long non-coding RNA, 1162 nt
Organism: Lagopus muta (rock ptarmigan)
Lineage: Eukaryota; Metazoa; Chordata; Aves; Galliformes; Phasianidae
Exons: 3
Source: RefSeq, a predicted model, not a curated record